RNAcentral lists this transfer RNA (74 nucleotides) under Podarcis lilfordi (Lilford's wall lizard). Its description in RNAcentral is "tRNA.Ile". Lineage: Eukaryota; Metazoa; Chordata; Lepidosauria; Squamata; Lacertidae. The record is from RNAcentral.
GCCUGGAUAGUUCAGUUGGUUAGAGCAUGGUGCUGAUAAUGUCAAGGUUGCAAGUUCAAUCCCUGUAUGGUGCA